UGACAAGAAAUAACAAUACAAGGCAGUUAAAAUGCUUUGUAAUUGGAAUGAUAGAAAUUUAAACACUUUUUAAAGUAUCAAUUGGAGGGCAAGUCUGGUGCCAGCAGCCGCGGUAAUUCCAGCUCCAAUAGCGUAUAUUAAAAUUGUUGCAGUUAAAAAGCUCGUAGUUGAAUUUCUGCUAAAAAAAACCGGUCUGCUUUUAAUAAAAGUGGUAUCUUGGUGUGUUUUUAGCAAUAAUGUCUUUUGGAAUGUUUUAUUACUUUAUUGUAAUAAAUCAUAUUCAGGGUUUUUACUUUGAGAAAAUUAGAGUGUUUCUAGCAGGCUAACGCUUUGAAUACUGCAGCAUAGAAUAAUAAAAUAGGAUUUUAGUUCUACAUUAUUGGUUUUAAGAGCUAAAUUAAUAAUUAAUAGGGACAGUUGGGGGCAUUUGUAUUUAAUUGUC
This 442-nucleotide ribosomal RNA is filed under the name Hepatozoon sp. Its description in RNAcentral is "partial 18S ribosomal RNA". It matches the Rfam family "Eukaryotic small subunit ribosomal RNA", at positions 468 to 906 of the family's 1831-position model. Lineage: Eukaryota; Apicomplexa; Hepatozoidae. The record is from RNAcentral.